Molecule: long non-coding RNA, 150 nt
Organism: Prionailurus viverrinus (fishing cat)
Lineage: Eukaryota; Metazoa; Chordata; Mammalia; Carnivora; Felidae
Exons: 4
Source: RefSeq, a predicted model, not a curated record
AGCAGGACCAGCGUCUUGGCAGUCGUGGUGACAGUGAUGUUGAAGGUGGGAGCUCCGCCGGUGCUCUUGGUACGGAGAUCUAUGGUAAAUUCCCCGUCCUGCAGCAGCGAGUCCCGGAUAACAGAGACUGGCUCUAAUUCACAUCUCCGA